Molecule: ribosomal RNA, 446 nt
Filed under: uncultured bacterium
Lineage: Bacteria
Description: partial 16S ribosomal RNA
Rfam family: Bacterial small subunit ribosomal RNA
Source: RNAcentral
CCUACGGGAGGCAGCAGUCGAGAAUCAUUCACAAUGGGGGCAACCCUGAUGGUGCGACGCCGCGUGGGGGAAUGAAGGUCUUCGGAUUGUAAACCCCUGUCAUGUGGGAGCAAAUUAAAAAGAUAGUACCACAAGAGGAAGAGACGGCUAACUCUGUGCCAGCAGCCGCGGUAAUACAGAGGUCUCAAGCGUUGUUCGGAAUCACUGGGCGUAAAGCGUGCGUAGGCUGUUUCGUAAGUCGUGUGUGAAAGGCGCGGGCUCAACCCGCGGACGGCACAUGAUACUGCGAGACUAGAGUAAGGUAGGGGGAACCGGAAUUCGCGGUGUAGCAGUGAAAUGCGUAGAUAGCGAGAGGAACACUCGUGGCGAAGGCGGGUUCCUGGACAGUAACUGACGCUGAGGCACGAAGGCCAGGGGAGCGAAAGGGAUUAGAUACCCGAGUAGUC